RNAcentral lists this ribosomal RNA (405 nucleotides) under uncultured Streptobacillus sp. Its description in RNAcentral is "partial 16S ribosomal RNA". It matches the Rfam family "Bacterial small subunit ribosomal RNA", at positions 355 to 774 of the family's 1533-position model. Lineage: Bacteria; Fusobacteriati; Fusobacteriota; Fusobacteriia; Fusobacteriales; Leptotrichiaceae. The record is from RNAcentral.
UGGGGAAUAUUGGACAAUGGAGGAAACUCUGAUCCAGCAAUUCUGUGUGCACGAAGAAGGUUUUCGGAUUGUAAAGUGCUUUCAGUAGGGAAGAAGUAAGUGACGGUACCUACAGAAGAAGCGACGGCUAAAUACGUGCCAGCAGCCGCGGUAAUACGUAUGUCGCAAGCGUUAUCCGGAAUUAUUGGGCGUAAAGGGCAUCUAGGCGGUCUAUCAAGUCGAAGGUGAAAACUUGUGGCUCAACCAUAAGCUUGCCUACGAAACUGACAGACUAGAGUACUGGAGAGGUGGGCGGAACUACACGAGUAGAGGUGAAAUUCGUAGAUAUGUGUAGGAAUGCCGAUGAUGAAGAUAGCUCACUGGACAGUAACUGACGCUGAAGUGCGAAAGCUAGGGGAGCAAACA